RNAcentral lists this ribosomal RNA (441 nucleotides) under Pseudonocardia sp. YN-6-1. Its description in RNAcentral is "bacterial SSU rRNA". It matches the Rfam family "Bacterial small subunit ribosomal RNA", at positions 65 to 521 of the family's 1533-position model. The record is from RNAcentral. Lineage: Bacteria; Bacillati; Actinomycetota; Actinomycetes; Pseudonocardiales; Pseudonocardiaceae.
AGCGGUAAGGCCCUUUCGGGGGUACACGAGCGGCGAACGGGUGAGUAACACGUGGGUGACCUGCCCUCAGCUCUGGGAUAAGCCUGGGAAACUGGGUCUAAUACCGGAUAUGACCUGCUGUUGCAUGACAGUGGGUGGAAAGUUUUUUCGGCUGGGGAUGGGCCCGCGGCCUAUCAGCUUGUUGGUGGGGUGAUGGCCUACCAAGGCGACGACGGGUAGCCGGCCUGAGAGGGCGACCGGCCACACUGGGACUGAGAUACGGCCCAGACUCCUACGGGAGGCAGCAGUGGGGAAUAUUGCGCAAUGGGCGAAAGCCUGACGCAGCGACGCCGCGUGGGGGAUGACGGCCUUCGGGUUGUAAACCUCUUUCGACCGGGACGAAGCGUGAGUGACGGUACCGGUAGAAGAAGCACCGGCCAACUACGUGCCAGCAGCCGCGGG